ACGCUGGCGGCGUGCUUACACCUGCAUGUUGUAACGAACUUCGGGUUAGUGGCGGACGGGUGAGUAACGCGUGAGAAUCUGCCCUCAGGAGGGGGACAACAGUUGGAAACGACUGCUAAUACCCCAUAUGCCGCGAGGUGAAAUGAAUUUCGCCUGAGGAUGAGCUCGCGUCUGAUUAGCUAGUUGGUGUACCGUAAUGGCUCACCAAGGCAUCGAUCAGUAGCUGGUCUGAGAGGAUGAUCAGCCACACUGGGACAGAGACACGGCCCAGACUCCUACGGGAGGCAGCAGUGGGGAAUUUUCCGCAAUGGGCGAAAGCCUGACGGAGCAACGCCGCGUGAGGGAUGAAGGCCUCUGGGCUGUAAACCUCUUUUAUCAAGGAAGAAGAUCUGACGGUACUUGAUGAAUAAGCCACGGCUAAUUCCGUGCCAGCAGCCGCGGUACAUACGGGAGUGGCAAGCGUUAUCCGGAAUUAUUGGGCGUAAAGCGUCCGCAGGCGGCCCUUCAAGUCUGCUGUUAAAACAGUGGAGCUUAACUCCAUCAUGGCAGUGGAAACUGUUGGGCUUGAGUGUGGUAGGGGCAGAGGGAAUUCCCGGUGUACGGGUGAAAUGCGUAGAUAUCGGGAAGAACACCCAGUGGACGAAAGGCGCUCUG
Molecule: ribosomal RNA, 654 nt
Filed under: uncultured Synechococcus sp.
Lineage: Bacteria; Bacillati; Cyanobacteriota; Cyanophyceae; Synechococcales; Synechococcaceae
Description: bacterial SSU rRNA
Rfam family: Bacterial small subunit ribosomal RNA
Source: RNAcentral